CUCCACCCCUCUCAGGGAUGGGAAGUAUCGUUUAGCGCUCCGUUGUACGGCUCGUUUUGGUGUCAGUGCGGCAGGAGGACGCUGCGGGGCGCUCUCCGCCGGGCAAAGAGGAGUAAAGCGGAGUAAAACGGAGUAAAGCGGAGCUGGGAGAUGCAUCGGGCUGUGUCCGGGCGUACCUGGAGGAAGCCCGGACCGAAGCGCUGGCCACAGUGAGUGACCGGGGCAGUUUGGGAAAAGGAGACGACCGCAUCCUGGGUGACAUCUGCCGGAGGGCACGGGGGAAGAAGAGUCAAGGCUUCGCCUCUCUGCCCUGCUCCGAGUGCAGCCGCUAUCUCUUUCCUGCCCGGGGAGCAAGCUGUGCGGGUGGCCCUUGCCCUGUGAGGGUCUGAAGCGCGGUCACACUGGGGCAGAUAACUUCCUUAAGGUCAGAAGUAUUACAGCGGUUGCAUCUGAUCAGUUGUGCUAGCAUUCACAGAUACCUUUGUGAAGUCUCUGCACAGUGCAUGUGUUUACUUCAGUGUCCUCUGGAGAGGGAUAGAGCCUUUCAAAUCAGGUGCAGCACAACUUGACUGCACCCCAAGUGAGUAGGAGUUGAAGGGUAAAUUAGUGGCUGGAGGAAGAGUAGGAAUUCACAGAGAAGUUGCUUGUGAGAAGACAUGUCAAGAACAGUGAGCUCUGGUUGACCUGUUAAAUGUGUGGUUUGGGUCACUUGAGAUACGAAGAGGCAUGGUAUACUUGUGAGACACAGCUCUUGUGGCACAUAGGACUUCAGCACUGUGAUAAAUGGGCAGCCUUUGCCAAGGGUCUGCUUGGUUUGAGACUUUAGAUUUGUUAGUUUUGCAUACUGACAGGUGUUAUUUGGCUGUUGCUGAAAGGACAUCUUGGUUUAUGACUUGCAUGGUUUUUGUUUGGUAACUUUCAGCUAAGUAAGUCAGGCUGGUUAGCUGUGGCCCUUGUUCUUUAUCAUCACCCUUCUAUGUUGUUUUAGAUUUAUGUGUGCUGGGAGAAAAAAAGGAGUUAGGAGUCCUUCCUUUCUUCCACCUUUCCUACUGACGGAGUCUUCUCUGACCAAGAGGUAAUGCAAUGCUGCCUUUCAGUUACUCUGAUUCCAGAAACCUCACCAUGUGAUGACAAAAAUAUAGUGUAGGUUUGAAUAAUACUUAGCGUUGAAUUAAAUCAAGUGAAAUUAGACAUUCAAUUCUAAAAGAGUUGUGAGAAAACAACUUGUCACUCAUUUCUAAGAUAUUACGGUUCUAAAAUUCUGUAAGUUGUUAAAAGAUUCUAAGAUUUUACAUGUUAGUUUUGUGGAUCGUUCUGUAUCUGAAAUAUAUUAGGAUUCCUCAAUGCAUCUUUUAAACAAGAUGUCUGUUAUAAAUUAGUGGCGCUUACAAAUUCUUGUCUGAUGUGGUGCUGUGGUAAUUUCAAUACAGCAUGUAAAUAUGGAAAUAAUAUGACAAGUAUUGAGCAUUAUAAUCCAUAACAGAUCCACAGGAUAAAUGUGAAUUCCUCCUUAAAAGAGAGCAUGGAAAGUUGCCCGAAUGUCUUUUUAGUAUUGGCAUCUAUCUGAAUCUUUAAUGCAUCUGAAUCUUUUGUCCAUCACUCUUUCUCUUCUGUGUGUGGAUUGUUAGUUUUGGCUUAUUGAAUUUUGUUUGUGGCCUUUUGUUCUUUUUUCUUUUAUUUAUUUAUUUAUUUUUCUGAAGAGCAACUCUCACAAAUGACCUCGAGAGACUUUACAGUAUACCCCUAGCCUGAAAUGAUGGAAGAUUUACAUCAGAUAUAAGGAAGAAAUAUUUUACAGUAAGGAUGACGAGGCACUGGAACAGGUUGCCCAGCAAGAUGGUGGAAGCCCUGUCUUUGGAGACGUUCAAGGUGAGGCUGGACCAGGCUCUGAGCUAUGGGUAUCCCAGUUCAGUGCAGGGGAGUUGGAUCAGAUGGCCUUUAUGGGUCCAUAAAUACAUAAGCUGCUGCUUGAACCAGCAAAACUAUUCUAAUUAGCUUAUUUUCUAAUAGAUGAAUUCAAAGUGGUGCCAUGGUGGCUUUCUAUUUUCUUUUUUUCCACAAAUAGUCUAAGUAAUCGAUCUAUCUUUUCCUAGUGGAAAAAAAUGUUCUCAAUACUGUGUCAAGUUUCAUAUCAAUAUUUUUAAUUAUCCUAAGAGAGCAAGACUCAGUAUUUGUGAGUUUUUUGCAUUCAGCUGCUCCUGUCAUUAAUUUUUAUAUUCAUCUUAACAUAUGAAGUAACUUUUCCUGUUACGUUUUAAAAUUCAUUGGCAGCCUUUAGAAAUGAUUAUAAAAAGUCUAACUGCAAAAAUAUUCUAUACUUUCUGAAAAAAAAGAAGAUAUUGUGUAGGAGUGAGGAAAAAGAGUGUAGGUUUAUGUUUACAUUGCCUAACAUAAGCUUGUCUGAUUAUGGUCAAGUACAAUUGUCAUAUAUUCCACUUUCAAUUUCUGUAACAUCUUCCUCCUCUCAGUUUCUUUUACUACCAAAACCUGCUGUCCUUCUUAGUUCCUCCGUUGUGGGUUUAGUUUUUCUUGACUAGAGGAAGGGAGUAUAAGAGUUUUCAAGUGUUGGUUUACUUCGACUUACGCUGGAGAACUUACAUAUUAGAGACUUUGUGUUUCUAGUAGUUUCUCAGUGGCUAUCAAGAUGACUCAGUUGACUUGCAGUUGAUCUGGGCAGUAGUUACUUAGAGAAACUGAAAAUAUAGCCUUAAGUCUUUUUUUGAGGUUGAUGCUUUUGAAGGUGUGGUGAAGGCUUCUUGUUUGUUUGUUUAAAUGACUUUAGAGUUUUGUCCAAACUUGAAAACUGCAAUUAUCAUUUAUGCUUGAGCAUUACCUUGGGCUAUCCAAUUUCAAAGGGGAGAUUUUCUUCUCUAUUUCACCUCUUCCCCCUGCCAAUCCAUUUGGGAUCAACUUCAGUUUGUUUGUGGUUUUGUUUGGUUUGGGUCUUUGUAUGGCUUUUGUGUUUUGUUUGUUGUUAUUUUUUUUCUUCCAGAAAGUUGCAAGAGCCUUGUCCAGUUCUAACAGCUGAGUAUAUUAUUGUCCUUGCUAAUGCAAGUCUUGACUCUUCUGUUUGUCCUUCUUAUUUACACAAAGAGAUGCUACAGUUCAACUUUUGAGUUUUCUUCUUUUUAGAUUAUUUUCAUAAUGUUUUGCAAUAUGAGGAGCUUAGCAAAUCAAAAACAAUAUGGUUUUGGCAAAUGCCAAUACCACUCCUUUAUGAAAGGAGAGUUGCUGUCAAAAAGGAAAAUAUCUUAAUCUUACAUGUUCAGGUAAUAUCCUUGCUUUGUUCAUUGUUUUUAAAUAUUAUACUUCCACAUGGUCUCAGGAAAGUUUAGAUGGAUGGAUGUGUCCUGACUAGUCACAGUCAUCUCCUACAGUACGAGAAACCCUUACCAGACAUUAGUAAAUGGAGAUUGCCAUUUACUACUAUUACUGUUAAGUUAUUCUGGUUGCAGUCAAGUUUGCCCAUGGCCUUCUAUUUGGAAGGUAGAACAGGAAAACUUUCAAGAUGAGCAACUUAAAGUAAUAUCAGUUUUAAAAUGCCUAAUGCUUGUUGAAGAGCUAUGUCUGAUGUGCAGCUGCGUUAUGAGAAUACAUCUUAAGCAGAGGCUUAUAUCCUUUAUUGUGAAACAAAGCUGGAAAACUUGAAAUGCCUAACUUGUUCUAGUGUGACUUGACGCUUUUCUCAGAAAAAUCUUGGCAAUGAAACCCAAGGAACCGGCUGAAAACUGGUAUCUCGCUGAGACCUUUUCAGGGCAUUUGAAUAGUUCCUUAAAGAGCCAACUGCUAAAGCUAAGUCAGAGAGCUGAGAAGGUGACUAGCUUGGACUUUCUGCAAGUGAAGUACCACCUCUUUCCAUCUAUUCAGGUUGGGUUUCUACUUAGCUUAUAUUGGCUCUUCUCUCUAAGAGAAACACAACUCCUGUAGUAUAGGAACUUUUUUAAAAAAUAAACACUGCUGUAAGAAAACUGUGUUUUCCCAAUUUCCUGGGAAAUUCUUCCUGGUUCUGCUGCCUUCUUCCUUAGCAUUGCGUUUCAGGCUUUAAACAGGUCCCUCUCUCUCACUCUAAGUAGUUUCCUGAAUGUGCUGUUGUGUUGUGUUUUGUCACCCUGUAUCUGAGAGCUAUCUGCUUGUUAGGCAUAGUUUGUGGGUGGUUUUUCUGUUUGCUUGUUUGUUGUUUUGUUUUGGUUUUGUCUGCUAAUGACAUUUCAGUGAAGGGCUACAAUAGUUUUGAGAGAUGAUGUGUUGUAUUGAAGGGUGGUCACUGUACUUACUGGACUCUUACUAAACCAGUAUCCUGAUCUUCGCUAUCAUCUCUUCCCAGAGAUUGCACUUGGUAUAAUAAUAUAUAUUGGACAAGGCUUUUGAAGGGAGGUAAUCAUCUUUUAUUAGGCUGGCUUAUAAUGGGACAGGGUGCCAGGCAAGCUUCAGGUCACACAGUGACCUCAAUGGUUUAUGUGCCUAGACAUGCAUCAGAUCUUUUUUCCAGCUACGUUAGUCUAAUAAAAGGUAUUACAUCUCCAUGGAAACACUGCCUGACUUGCAGUCUUGGUAAUAGAAGGCUGCAGCAACAUGGCAACCAUCAUCAAAGCUGACCAACAUGCUAUAUACUUUUUACACUUUCCAGGCCCCACUGUGCUGUGUGCACUUAUUUCAGCUCUUUUAUAUUCAAGAUCUGAUUAAUUCUGCUUUGAUCAACAGUCUUUCUGUUAAGUAAAUUUUGAAUCCAAAUUUAGUUUGUCUGGCUUGAAAUGAAGACUUUCAUUUUGGACCGUCUUUGCUAUCUUUCAACAUUGCUUUAGUAUGUGUUUUAAUAAAUGAGAUCCAGUUUAAUAACUGUAGGAGCCUUAAAGAUCAAUUCAUUCAUGCUUUGUAUACAAGCUUGUAUAAUUUAUCAGAAUAUUUGUCACAUUUUGUUUUCCUUUUACAUAAUUGUUCUCACAAGCAGACGAAUACUUCAUGGGAUAACCUUUAUUGCUGUCCUUUGUUUACCAAGUGAAGGAUACUACAAACUUGAUGAUGCCUAUUUUAUGUAGAGUGUAUCUCCUGUUUGAGAUAAGUAACUAAAUUGAAAAGCAAUUUAAUCGGUGUGUUAGAUUGCAUCAAUAAUGAUCUCUUAGUUUCCUAUCUUCUCUGUUUUUACGAAAAUACAUUUUUACUUCAUGAUAAAGGAAGAUUCAAAUAAUUAAUUUGAAGAGUUUAGUGUUAAUUACAGAUUUUUUUUUUCUUUUGCCAAUGUUGAGCAGUACUGAGAGCUACUGAAAUGUUUCCUUUGAGCUUUCAGUGGAAAAAGAUCACAGAUCACAGAAUCACAAAAUCACAGAAUGGCCUGGGUUGGAAGGGACCUCAAGGAUCAUGAAUCUCCAACCCCCCUGCUGGGCAGGGCCACCAACCUCCCCAUUUACUAGACCAGGUUGCCCAGGGCCUCAUCCAACCUGGCCUUGAACACCUCCAGGGAUGGGGCAUCCACAACCUCUCUGGGCAGCCUGUUCCAGCACCUCACCACUCUCCUGGUAAAGAACUACCCCCUGACAUCCAACCUAAAUCUUCCCUCUUUCAACUUAAAACCGUUCCCCCUUGUCCUGCUGUUAUCUACCCUUUCAAGAAGUUUACUUCCUUCCUGUUUAUAGGCUCCCUUCAGGUACUGAAAGGCUGCAAUGAGGUCACCCUGCAACCUUCUCUUCUCCAGGCUGAAUAAGCCCAGCUCCCUUAGCCUGUCCUCGUAGGGGAGGUGCUCCAGCCCCCUGAUCAUCUCUGUGGCCCUUCUCUGGACCCUCUCCAGCAGCUCUCUGUCUUUAUUGUACUGAAGGACAGUACAAGAAAUACUUUCUUGUACUCUGUCUUUCUUGUACUUUGCAAGGAUCUUGACACUAAGCAAAGCAAGUGAGGCAUCAACAAGUCUUAGUCAGUGAUAAACCAUAGCUACUGAGUGAUGCCAAUACAAAAUUUUAGAUAGUUUAAAGUCAUGUGAUUAUGUCCACUUCUCAGUGACAGAGGUACAGGAGUAUACUGGUGUCAGCACGCAGAUGUGAACUGUAGGGACUUCUAAGCAAUAUUAUGGUUUAAGUGAAUAGGAACAUCAGUUAUUGCGUGGAAUUCUUUGCUUACAUCCUAAAGCAGCCAUUCUUUAAUUCUAGGAGAAGACUUAGAUUGGAAGGGACCUUAAAGAUCAUCUGGUUCCAACCUCCCCACCCAUGCCAUGGGCAGGGCUGCCACCCACCAAAUCAGGCUGUCCGAGACCCCAUCCAUCCUGGCCUUGAACACCUCCAGGGAUGAGGCAUCCACAGUUUCUCUGGGCAGUCUGUGCUCUUUGCUAGAUAUAAUCCCAACCUACCCUCUUUUAAUUUAAAACCAUUACUGCUUGUCUUGUCAUGACACCCUCUAGUAAAGAGUUCUUCCACAUCUUUCCCAGAAGUCCCUUUUAGAUUCUGGAAGGCCACAAAGGAGGCCUCCCUGGAGCCUCCUCUGCUCCAACAACUUAUCCUCUCCUCCAACUCUUCUAACAAGCCCAGCUCCCUUAACGUUUCCUUGUAGGAGAGGUGCUCCAGCCUGAUCAUCAUCUUUGUGGACUCCUCUGGACUUGCUCCAACAGCUCUGUGUCCUUCUUGAGCUGGGGGACCCAGAGCUGAACACAGUAGUCCAAAUGGGGUCUCACAAGAGUGGAAUGGAAGGGGAGAGUUGUUUCCCUCACUGCUGGCCCCAUACUGGUGUUGUGCUGUGUUGUGUUGUGUUUGUGUUUUUAGAAAUGAGCUACUCAUUUCUAGCUGGCUUAUGUCUAGUUUUUUUUGUCCACCAGUACAGCUAGUAUAAUUGCUCAUUAAUAGCUAAUGACUGGUAAAAGCCCACGAGUAGACCUCUUGUUAUCCUUUUCCAGAUUGUUAGUUUACAGUCCUGUAGCCAAACUCUGGGCCUACAAAAGGAAAAAAAAAAAAAAAAACAGAAAGAAAUGAAGCUGCAGUCCAGCAGAACCUGCUCAAGAACUGCCUGCAGAAAACCUCUUAAACCAUUAUCUCUUAUUAAUAGCUCUUCCCUAGAGUAACUGGUGUUGUAGAGCAUAUACUUGCUCAGUCUUGGCUAGAGCUACAGUCAGUCUACGCUUGAGUUCACAGUUUAUAUAUAGAUGUUAGAUGGUAUAUUAAUGAGCACAGUAGUUAGUCACUACUUCUCAGCACAUCUCAAGGGAGUUUGUUCUCUAUAUACAUAAAGAUUUUUCGUUUUCCCUUGAGCUCUGUCUCAUUAAUAGUUUACCUUAGUAAUCACCACCACUUUUCAUAGUCUUAAAAUAACACUGAUAUAGAUAAUGAAAGUCUUGUAGUGCUUUUUCUUAUUACCAAUGUAAGAUUUAAAUAAUCUUAUGCACAAACAGUAAGGAAUGUAUGCAGCUGACAAGUCAGUAACUUUUGGUAUCUUGCUUUAUGAGAUCUGUAUUAAUGCAGGUUUGGGGUAGUCAACAUUUAAAAAUAUAAAAUAAAAAAAAUGCUUAAUUAGAUCAUGUCUGUUAUAUUCUGUUGUAUUUUUGAGAUCAAACUGAUUGAAAAAAGUGAGAUUUUUCAUUACAUUCUCAAAUUGUCUUGUUUGCCAGUAAUUGUUAACAUCUACACGUGGUUACUUUAAAUUAAUGUUCAUAUGAUAUCUGUUUAUUUCUAAGCAUUCAACUUAAUAUCAUAAGCAGAAUUCUACAUUUACUGUAUGCUGUGGUUUAACUUGACAGGCAGCUUAGCACCAUACAGCUGUUUGCUCCUAGUGGGAUAGGGGAGAGAAUCAAAGCUGGGGGGAAACCAAAGUAGAUCUUGUGAGUUGAAAUGAAAAUUACUUACUAAGACAGAAAAGGAAGACAAAAAUAAUAGUCAUGAUAAAUAUAUAUAUAUAUAUAGGUAUACCAUUACCAUUAUAUAUCUCAUUAGUGUAUGUAUACUUAGAAAACAAAUUAUGCAUAAUGAAAUUGCUCACCACCUGCUGACUGAUGCUCAGCCUGUCCCUGAGCAGCAGCUGCUUCUCCCAACCAUCUCCCUCAGUUUUAUAGUUCUACAUGAUGUCAUAUGGUGUGGAAUGUCCUCUUACCCAGUCUGGGUCAGCUGUCUUGGUUCUAUCCCUUCAUAGUUCUUCCCCCCCCCCCCCCCAGAUCCCCUUGCUGACAGGGCAGUAGGAGAAGCUGAAACAUCCUUGGAUCUGUACAGCACUGCUCAGCAACAACUAAAACAUUGGUGUGUUAUCAGCAUUGUUUUCUCCUGAAGCCAAAACAUAGCAUCAUACCAGACACCGUGAAGAUCAACUCUGUUGCAGCUGAAACCAGGACGCUAAAAAAAAUUCUAUCAGUGGGUUGAUCUCCAUAUGGAAGGUUUUGAGGACAUGACUGGGCAGAGUGGUGAACAAUACCACCUCGACUCCCAUUUCCUAUUAAAAGUUGGACUAGAUGAUCAUUCAAAGUCUCUUCCAGCCUGGGCUGUUUUAUGAUUCUGUAGUUGUGCAGAGCAGAAAUGACAUUUCUUGAAACCAGGAACCUUUAAGCACUGGAAAAAUAUUUUAGUAGUCACACUAUAUCAUUAGCACAAUAAUGUCAAUGUAUGGGAAUGGUAGCCUUUUUAUUAGGCUACUUAAAAAAAAUAUUAAUUUCUUGAACGUGAAUACUUGUGUUUAGUGCUGCUCUUUAAUGCUUUACCUGAAAUACCAAGGAAGAAUUCUGCAUUUAAUCUUUUACAUAAGUGGUAUAUGGGGUUGUAAGCAAGGAUAGAAUGUACUUAAAGAAAACUUCAUUUUGAAAAUCUUGGGAUUGUUACCUGGGAUUAUUCAGUUGUAUACUGAAUUCUAAAGUAUCAGAUCUGUUUUCUGGAUUGGUUUGAAAAGCUUUAUUCAAUGAAAACUCAUAGCACAACUAAGUAGUAUUGAUUGAAAUGAAGUGUGGAGCCUUCAAGGAUGAAAUGAGUUUUCUGAAAGACUGCAAAAAAAGUGUGCCGUGGUGAAAAUGUAGUAGGAAAAAUAAUGUGGUGGCCUCAUAACUCUUUUCGUCAGAGGAUUGCACUCAUGUCAGUGGUAGAUAUUAAGCUAUUGUUUUCUGCUCGAGCUGUUUGAAUAAGAAGGUUGACUAUUUGCUCACCAAGGUUCCCUAACAAUUGCUAAGAAGAUUAACAGUUUAGUAACAGCCUAACAGUUAAACAGUUAAAUAAUAAAACCUGGAGUCAGUGCAGUGGUUAUGAUCAAAAUGUCACAAAUCCUUUUCAUUUGAGUAGGAAUUUCCAUAAAUCCAUGGUAUCAAGUUUCUGAAUCUGCAAAUGCUGUAUUAGGAGGCCUAUUCUUAGUCCUUAUUGAUGCUGAUCUGUUAAUAGAGACCACCAACUUCUUACCUGUGACUGAAGUACAAAGUCCUCAUACGUUGCAAUAUCUACACUGAGAUAAAGCAAACUACAGGAGAUCUAUCCAUUCUGUUGUCCCUUUAGCAAUGUUGAAGCAAAGGCAUCUUAGCACUUUGUGUUGCUGUUAAGUAUCCUCAUUUACCUGUUUGUGCCUGUAGCAGUAGUCUCUUUGACACUAUUUGAACAAUCUAAACUUCACUUGAAUAAUUUCUUGUGUGAUAAACUAAAUAGUAUUGAAUAAAUCACCGAGGUGCUUUGGUUUUAUUUUGUUCUCCAGACUUUGGAUAAUCACUGAAUGCUAACAGAACUUAUUUUCUGGAAUGAAGACAAAUGUGGAGUUUUUCUGCUUUGAAUCAGGGUAGAAGAGAUUUUGAAGUGAUACUUCUGUACUGUUUGUCAGCUUCAAACAGCUUUAAGCUUCUUCUCAUUCUAUCCCUUGCUGACCUUUCUGUAGUAAAGCCAGGUGGCACUUGGAUGUUGUUCUUUAAGAGACCUUUUGAUUUCUGCUGGAACUCAUGAAGAUACAUCCAGGUAUUUAUUGCAAUAAAACAGGUCUUUCCCUGAAGAUAAAAAGAGAUUAUCCUUUGAUUUAAAGAAAUGUUCUUGUCAUCUUCAAGGUUUCCACAAAAAGUUUAGGGUGAAGCACAGCUCCGUCUAUAGGUAAUCAAAAUCUGUCUCAGAUGUGAAGGAUGAGGUCUCCUGAGUAAUGUUUUGUUCCACUCCCUUAAGACACGGGGAUCCUUAUAAUUAGCAGUGAUGUAUACAGCAUAUAUAUCCAAACUGUGCUCCCAUGUUCUGUCCUGAUGUUCCUACAAUAGAGGCUGGUUUUGGUACAGCUGCCCUGCAGAUAAGUACAGCACCUCUUGUCACAGUGAGGUUAAAAGAGUGUUACAGAAUUAGUCAGCCUGUACAAACUGUAGUUACAGCCUGUAUGUCUGAUCUUUGUGGCUUUCCCUGCCUUUGAAUGUUUGAAAGAAGAGCUCUGCACUUAGUGGUCACCUAGCGACCGUGUAUACAAUACAAGAGUGUUUUUUUUUUCUCUUUUUCAAGUUACAACAUCUUGGUUUAGCCAUAGUUAUGAGCUGCUAAUGAGUGUCAGGUUACAGAUUAAGUUUUUCCUUUUUCCAGUGCAAAUCCAGAGACAUAAUGGCAAGCUUUUUUACAUUUAAAACAAAAUAUCAAUAGAUCUGACCUCUUGUAAUUUUAUGUCUAUAGGUACAGAAAAGCAGUGCUCUGUAUUUGAUUGCUGGUUACCCUGGCUGCAUUUGAGUACAUCUGUGUUCUGUUGUGGUUUUAACCACUGCAUAACAUUAGAACUAUUACACAAUGAUUUCAUUUUACUUCCACGCUAACUCCUACAGUCUUCAAUAGAAAUGCACACAGGAAGCAGGAUUUAGUGCUAGCUUUACUACAUAUUUAAUCGUCUUCUUCAAACAUACAGCUUUUACGAUAGUAAUCUGAAGAUUUUCAACAGUUUUUGAAGAUUUCUGAAGCCAGCAGGAUUUCUGAAGCUAGUGGUGAGGAACGGUUAUGGAAAGAAACUGGUUUGUGUAAUUAAGAUAAUUAAGCCAGAAAUCACACUUUAUAUUCAGGGUGAGAAUAAAGCUGCAAUAGAAGUUCACUAAGAAAAUGUAUCUUGACAAACCAAGCUUUUGAGAAGCUGGGAAAGUUAGCAAGCUGAAAACAUAGAAGACAUUGGAGUAUCAGUGUUCUCAAGAAAGAUGAUCUAUGAGAUUGCAUGGCUAUCUUAUCUUUCCGGCCUCAAAACAGAUGCAACUUCACUAGAAAUAAUAGGAGAGAUGUGUGUAAGAAACUGAGAGUAAAGCUACACACCAGUGGCAUUUUAAGACUGGGUGAGGUUGCACUCCAUAGACAGAAGUCUAGAUGUCUUCCACAACUUCAGGUGCUUUCUAAUACUAGCAUGGCAGGGUUACCGUGUUGGGAUUUAAUUAUGAUGCAAUGCUUGGUUUUAGUGUUGGAAAAAAUCUGAAUUGGUCUAGAAGUAUGGCUUUCUAUGCAUUCUUUUAUCACACAACUAACCUCUAUGUUUAUGUUUUCUUUCUGGAAUGCAUCCAUUCAAUAAACAUUGAGUACUCAAACAUCGUAGUAAAAGAUGUGAAAAUGAAGAACAUCUAACAAGAAACUGAACUGUGUUCUUGUACUUGCUAUUUGUUUACAUUAAAAGAUUUCUUAUAACCCAAGGCUGUGUUUUCUAAUAUUUUAUUUCCUUUUGACACAUUUCAUUUCUGGCACUUGUCUGUUGAUUAGCAAAAUACCAAGUACCUGGUAAAGGGCUUAGCCUAGUUUUCAUUCUACAGUUUAAAUCAGGUGAAAAGCAAGAAUCAUCUUGCUUUUAUUGCUUUCUGCCUUUCCUCAUGAAUCCAUUGCUGGGAGGAGAGAAACCUGAAGGUAUUUGUUCUAACUCAUGCUUCCUUAGCUGCUCACUUUCACUCCUAGACCUUUCUCUCCGUUGGGAUGAUGCAACUGCUUUUGCAUGAGAAUUAUUUGAAGUGGAUUAUAGAAUUGAUUCAAGUUAAAUAUGUAUUGUUUAUAACCCCUUUAAUCCAAUUUGCCUUGAUUUAAUAUUGCAGCGUGCUGCAGGAGGUGGCACAGUGGAGAGGGAAUGGAAGGGGCUGAGUAACAUGGCAUUGUUGAGGGGGUAGGGAGAGAAAAACACUUAUCAAUCCUACAGCCAUUUGGAGAUUGCUCCGUGUUCCCUGUACAAUUAUGAAGGAACAGUACCUAGCUGAAGAGAACUAGAGGACAGCUGUUUCUGAACAUGGGGGAAAGUCAUCUUAUUUUUUUCAUAGGUGGGAAGAGAAAAAGACUGUUACAUUUAUGGGACUUCUUCAAUAAUAUAACUAGUAAAUGUGAAAGUGAAAUGUCCUCAUGGUUGUGUGUGUGUGUGACUGGCUUAAAAAACAAUCAAACAAACAAAAAAACCUUAAAAUACAUCUGGCUACAUCCUCAGACUUCUUCCUCAGUACUGACUGGAAAAUCUUAAUGAUCAAUGGGAAAAUGAAAGUAAUCUGUUAUUCGUAAUGUCCCUGAAGAAGGUGAUAGUGGGAUCUGAUUGCAGCUCUUUUUAUACUUCGCCUCUCCCUAGCCUCUAGGUAAACUUCCAGUUGCUGGCUUUGUCUUGUUUUUUAACAUGUACUCUCAGUGUAAUAGCCAAUUUUUGCAGGGAAGAACAUGUAGCCUAGCAAGGAACAAGACUGGUAGCAAUUUCAAAAACAGCUUGAUUACAUUGUGCUUACUAAACAAAGAUGAUGACAGUUGCAAUUGCAGUUGGAGCAUAGAUAGUAUUUCAGUUCCAUUUGAACAGCAGUGUGUGGUUGCUACAAUGGUAAUUUUAACCAAGCUGGAAAGGAAAAAAGAAUCCUACGAAAACUACAGUGAGUCACUACCUUCUCCAGUAUCUCACAAUACAGAAAAACUAGCCAUUUCAGUUACAUUUCUGGAUAUUAAUUAACUUUUCUUUCGCCUUAAACUUAUAGGAACUUGAAAAAGCAACGAGCAAGAGUGGAUUAGACACAGAUACUGAAAAAUAAAGUUCUGCUUGUUCGGAUUCAGUGCAUGUGGAGAAAGAAAACGAAUCAACGAGUCUUGUGGCUAUCCAAAAAAAUGAACAGUACUUGAAUCAACUGCACGAGGACAGCACAAAACCUAGAAGACAUUCACUUUGAAAGAGCAACCUCUUAAAAGCUCUCUGGAAUUUUGUCUACCUUGUGUACUGCAAUCAGUUGCAUCAUCAAGACAAAAUCUCAAAGGCUGUCCCAGGUUCAAGGAGGAUUAACUCAAAGCCAGGCCUCUUAGGAACGUUCUUAAGCAGAUCCUGACGUGUGCAGAGUUUGGUCUCCUAGGAAAAGAGGCUCUUACUUAAGUGGCAUAGUGCCUUGUUUUAAAGGCAGAAAGCAUGGAUUAAAUUUGGUUCUGAAGUGCUGUGCAUAGCGUUUCAUGCUACAGAUUUUCAAGGAGAGUUUACUUGUGCCCUUUGAUACUUGCUCCAGGGGCAGUAUUUGUGCAGGCCCGGUGACUGCUUUAUCUUUUGCCUUCACUGUGAUCAAUAUAGGCAAAUAAUUAAAAUAACUGAAUUUGAAACAUCAUAGAGCGUCUGAGAGUUAAGGUAGCCAAGAAAGACGAGCUUUUUAUCAUAGCAACAAUGCAACCACCUUUGAAUGUCACGUACUGCAGCCACAAAAAGAAGAGUAUUGCCUUGAAACCUAUCACCUUACCUCAGCUCCCAUGUCAUUGUCAGUUGUUGUUUUGUACUGUGCUACUUGUCCUUAGGAAAAUCUGUGGGCUAGCGUGUGGGAAGUUGACAUAGACUUUACUCUGGGUCUGAUGUAAGAGGAAUUCAUACAGGCUGCUAUUGCCCUGUUGAGCUGUUCUUUGGCUAUCACUGAAGUAUAGUAUAGAAUAGUAAAGAAUUGCUAUAUGAGGGUUAUUCUUUGUGACAUCUGCUUUUAAGUAUAUAUGAAACUGUGCUAUCGAACAAGAUUCCAUCUCAAAGCUGAGAUAUCUGUUGCCAACAUUCACUCAGGAGAGGGCAGGGCUGCCAUGAGAGGAAGAAACUGAUGCUGCUGAGAUUUUAAGUAUAGAUGAUGUCACAAUAAAUAGCAAGCUAUAUGAGUAGCUUUAUUCCGCUGGCUUUCAGCCCACCUUGGAAGCAAGGUCUGGCGACAGCGCGCUCCUCCCUUGCUGCUCCCCUUCUCCCCCUGGCCCGCCCCUGCGGCUCCCUCAGUCCCGCCCCGGAGCAGCAGACGAGGACCCAUUGGCCCCCGCCCUCCUCUUCUUUGCAUAGGGGAGGCCGUGUCCGCCCCAGGCACCGCCCCUCACGGGUGUGCAGCCGUGCGCGCGCUGUUGUGGCACGUGAGGGCGGCGCACGUGGGUCCGUUAUGUAAAGCAC
RNAcentral lists this long non-coding RNA (14259 nucleotides) under Gallus gallus (chicken). The record is from RNAcentral. Lineage: Eukaryota; Metazoa; Chordata; Aves; Galliformes; Phasianidae.